AGACUGCAGGAGAGCGGCAACGCCAUUAUUUGGCAACGCCCACCGAAGAAGUAAAUCUUUCAGGUGCCUAAUUCAAAACCAUGAAUAAGGUGAGGACUGUAGUUGGAGG
This 109-nucleotide unclassified non-coding RNA is filed under the name Aliivibrio wodanis. RNAcentral's name for it is "glycine riboswitch". The record is from RNAcentral. Lineage: Bacteria; Pseudomonadati; Pseudomonadota; Gammaproteobacteria; Vibrionales; Vibrionaceae.